CGUAGGUGGCAAGCGUUAUCCGGAUUUACUGGGUGUAAAGGGCGUGUAGGCGGGAGUGCAAGUCAGAUGUGAAAAUUAUGGGCUCAACCCAUAACCUGCAUUUGAAACUGUACUUCUUGAGUACUGGAGAGGCAGGCGGAAUUCCGUGUGUAGCGGUGAAAUGCGUAGAUAUACGGAGGAACACCAGUGGCGAAGGCGGCCUGCUGGACAGCAACUGACGCUGAGGCGCGAAAGCGUGGGAGCAAACAGGAUU
RNAcentral lists this ribosomal RNA (253 nucleotides) under uncultured bacterium. Its description in RNAcentral is "partial 16S ribosomal RNA". It matches the Rfam family "Bacterial small subunit ribosomal RNA", at positions 526 to 779 of the family's 1533-position model. The record is from RNAcentral.